This 539-nucleotide ribosomal RNA is filed under the name uncultured Glomeromycotina. Its description in RNAcentral is "SSU rRNA". It matches the Rfam family "Eukaryotic small subunit ribosomal RNA", at positions 569 to 1113 of the family's 1831-position model. The record is from RNAcentral. Lineage: Eukaryota; Fungi; Glomeromycota.
AGCAGCCGCGGUAAUUCCAGCUCCAAUAGCGUAUAUUAAAGUUGUUGCAGUUAAGAAGCUCGUAGUUGAAUUUCGGGGUUAGUAGGUUGGUCAUGCCUCUGGUAUGUACUGGUCUCACUGAUUCCUCCUUCCUGAUGAACCUUAAUGCCAUUAAUUUGGUGUUUUGGGGAAUUUGGACUGUUACUUUGAAAAAUUAGAGUGUUUAAAGCAAGCUAACGCUUGAAUACAUUAGCAUGGAAUAAUGAAAUAGGACGUUCGAUCCUAUUUUGUUGGUUUCUAGGAUUGACGUAAUGAUUAAUAGGGAUAGUUGGGGGCAUUAGUAUUCAAUUGUCAGAGGUGAAAUUCUUGGAUUUAUUGAAGACUAACUACUGCGAAAGCAUUUGCCAAGAAUGUUUUCAUCAAUCAAGAACGAAAGUCUGAGGUUCGAAGGCGAUCAGAUACCGUCGUAGUCUUAACCAUAAACUAUGCCGACUAGGGAUCGGGCGGUGUUAUUAUUUUGACUCGCUCGGCACCUUACGAGAAACCAAAGUGUUUGAGUU